RNAcentral lists this signal recognition particle RNA (273 nucleotides) under Jaculus jaculus (lesser Egyptian jerboa). RNAcentral's name for it is "Metazoan signal recognition particle RNA (ENSJJAG00000006578.1)". It matches the Rfam family "Metazoan signal recognition particle RNA", at positions 1 to 267 of the family's 299-position model. Rfam says of the family: The signal recognition particle (SRP) is a universally conserved ribonucleoprotein. It is involved in the co-translational targeting of proteins to membranes. Lineage: Eukaryota; Metazoa; Chordata; Mammalia; Rodentia; Dipodidae. The record is from RNAcentral.
GCUGGGCAUGGUGGCACGUGCCUGUAGUCCCAGCUACUCGGGAGGCUGAGGCAGGAAGAUCGUUUGAGUCCAGGGGUUCUGGGCUAGAGUGAGUUAUGCUGAUCGGGUGUCCGCACUAAGUUUGGCCUCAAUAUGGUGACCUCCCAGGAGCAGGGGACCACCAGGUUGCCUAAGGAGGAGUAAACCUGCCCAGGUCAGAAACAGAGCAGGUCAAAACUCCCAUGCUGAUCAGAAAGCCACAGCUUAAUAUCAUGUCUGCAAGCCACUUUCUGU